This 316-nucleotide ribosomal RNA is filed under the name uncultured eukaryote. RNAcentral describes it as "partial 18S ribosomal RNA". It matches the Rfam family "Eukaryotic small subunit ribosomal RNA", at positions 1470 to 1796 of the family's 1831-position model. The record is from RNAcentral.
CCCUUAGAUGUUCUGGGCUGCACGCGCGCUACACUGGUGCACUCAACAAGUUUACAACCUUGAUCGAUAGGUCUGGGUAAUCUUUUGAAUAUGCACCGUGCUAGGGAUAGAUUAUUGCAAUUAUUAAUCUUGAACGAGGAAUUCCUAGUAAAUGCAAGUCAUCAGCUUGCGUUGAUUACGUCCCUGCCCUUUGUACACACCGCCCGUCGCACCUACUGAUUGAAUGGUCCGGUGAAGCCUCCGGAUUGGCGCGCACCUCGGUGCCGCCGAGAAGUUGGCUAAACCUUACCAUUUAGAGGAAGGUGAAGUCGUANCA